Molecule: unclassified non-coding RNA, 1774 nt
Filed under: Hevea brasiliensis (rubber tree)
Lineage: Eukaryota; Viridiplantae; Streptophyta; Magnoliopsida; Malpighiales; Euphorbiaceae
Source: RNAcentral
CUCUCUCUUGAUCAUGUCAGUGGCUGGUGCAACUUAUAUGUUUAGUCUAUACUCUAAUGACAUUAAAACGUCAUUAGGCUAUGAUCAAACCACUCUCAAUUUGCUUAGCUUCUUCAAGGACUUGGGUGGUAAUGUUGGAGUCUUGUCAGGGCUCAUCAAUGAAGUCACCCCACCUUGGGUUGUUCUUUCCAUGGGAGUAAUCAUGAAUUUCCUUGGAUACUUCAUGAUUUGGCUUGCUGUUACUGGCCAGAUUGCCAAGCCAAAAGUUUGGCAGAUGUGUCUUUAUAUAUGUAUUGGAGCAAAUUCUCAAACUUUUGCCAAUACUGGAGCUCUAGUCACCUGUGUCAAGAACUUCCCGGAAAGCAGAGGUAAUGUUUUGGGCUUGUUAAAGGGAUUUGUUGGUUUGAGUGGAGCUAUUUUGACUCAACUCUACCAUGCUUUUUAUGGAGAUAACUCCAAGGCUCUUAUCUUGCUUAUUGCUUGGCUUCCUGCUGCUGUUUCUUUCAUUUUUCUUCGUACCAUUCGGAUAAUUAAGAUCGUUCGCCAACCCAAUGAGGUCAAAGUUUUCUACAAACUCCUGUAUAUUUCACUUGGUCUUGCUGGUUUUCUCAUGGUUUUGAUUAUCAUACAAAACAAGUUCAGCUUUGCCAGAAUUGAGUACAUUGGAAGCGCUUCUAUUGUUCUUGUAUUGCUUUUUCUCCCUAUAGCUAUCGUUAUAAAAGAAGAAUAUAAUCUCUGGAGCAGCAAGAAGGCAGCCUUGAACGACCCAUAUCCAGUGAAAGUCGUGACUGAAAAUCCUCCAGCGCUGGAAUUGUCAACAUCGACACCAGCACUAGAGCCAUCAGCCCCACCACCUGGAAUUCCAACGCCAACAGAGAAGCAAGCUUCUUGCAUGGACAACAUUUUCAAACCACCAGACAGAGGUGAAGACUUCACCAUAUUACAAGCACUUUUUAGUGUGGAUAUGCUGAUAAUAUUUGUCGCCAUAACUUGUGGCGUUGGUGGCACGUUGACAGCAAUAGAUAACUUGGGUCAGAUUGGGAACUCUCUCGGCUAUCCAACUCGUAGCAUCACAACCUUUGUGUCACUUGUUAGUAUUUGGAACUACCUUGGUCGAGCAGUGGCUGGGUUUGCCUCUGAAAUCUUGCUGACAAAGUACAAGAUCCCUCGUCCUCUAUUGUUUACAUUUGUGCUUCUCUUCUCUUGUCUUGGGCAUCUUCUAAUUGCUUUUGGCGUUCCAAAUUCCCUCUACUUCGCUUCUGUGAUCAUCGGUUUCUGCUUCGGAGCACAAUGGCCAUUGAUGUUUGCAAUGAUAUCUGAAAUUUUUGGCCUGAAGUACUAUUCAACCUUGUACAAUUUUGGUUCUGUUGCUAGCCCAGUUGGCUCGUACGUCCUCAAUGUGAGAGUGGCCGGCCAUUUAUACGAUAAAGAGGCAUUGAAGCAAAUGGAGGCCUCGGGGCUUAGAAGGGAAGCAGGGCAAGACUUGACAUGCAAUGGUGUGCACUGUUAUAGAAUGGCUUUCCUCAUAAUCACUGCAGCAACAUUAUUUGGGUCCUUAAUUUCCUUCAUUUUAGUGCUCAGGACCAGAAAAUUCUAUAAAGGUGACAUCUACAAGAAAUUCAGGGAGGAGGCCAAAGCCACAGAGAUCAAUGAUAUGACUUCACCUGGAAACGGUAUUGUACCAUUGAAAGAAAUAAGAUCUGAAACCAGGACGAAGAAAGCCGUCACUGGGGACGGAGAUUCUAAAACAGUCACCACCACCACCACCACCGUU